UAGGAAAGACAGGGCCAGGAGCCCCCCUGAGCCCAGGGUAACUCUUGACAUAGGGGGGCA
Molecule: regulatory RNA element, 60 nt
Organism: Oryctolagus cuniculus (rabbit)
Lineage: Eukaryota; Metazoa; Chordata; Mammalia; Lagomorpha; Leporidae
Rfam family: Gag/pol translational readthrough site
Source: Rfam